This 254-nucleotide ribosomal RNA is filed under the name uncultured bacterium. Its description in RNAcentral is "partial 16S ribosomal RNA". It matches the Rfam family "Bacterial small subunit ribosomal RNA", at positions 524 to 777 of the family's 1533-position model. The record is from RNAcentral.
UACAGAGGGGGCAAGCGUUGUUCGGAAUUACUGGGCGUAAAGGGCGCGUAGGCGGCCUGUUAAGUCGAACGUGAAAUCCCCGGGCUCAACCCGGGAACUGCGUCCGAUACUGGCAGGCUUGAAUUCGGGAGAGGGAUGCGGAAUUCCAGGUGUAGCGGUGAAAUGCGUAGAUAUCUGGAGGAACACCGGUGGCGAAGGCGGCAUCCUGGACCGAGAUUGACGCUGAUGAGCGAAAGCUAGGGGAGCAAAACGGG